UACGAAGGGGGCUAGCGUUGCUCGGAAUUACUGGGCGUAAAGCGCACGUAGGCGGUCUUUUAAGUCGGUGGUGAAAUCCUGGAGCUCAACUCCAGAACUGCCUUCGAUACUGGAAGACUUGAGUCCGGGAGAGGUGAGUGGAACUGCGAGUGUAGAGGUGAAAUUCGUAGAUAUUCGCAAGAACACCAGUGGCGAAGGCGGCUCACUGGUCCGGUACUGACGCUGAGGUGCGAAAGCGUGGGGAGCAAACAGG
RNAcentral lists this ribosomal RNA (253 nucleotides) under uncultured bacterium. RNAcentral describes it as "partial 16S ribosomal RNA". It matches the Rfam family "Bacterial small subunit ribosomal RNA", at positions 524 to 776 of the family's 1533-position model. The record is from RNAcentral.